UUGCGGCUCCGUCAUGACCAUUUUAAUUUCGCGCACUGACUACCUCGACCACAAUUUUACCGACAGGUCUUGCGUCGUCUUUCGCCGCUGGCGGAGGCGCUGCUUUCAGUUGCGACGCGGCUAACUCAAGCUUGCGUAUCAGAUCCAGCGUACGAAUGAUCAGGUCAGCAUAGUUUGGCGCUACAGCUUUCAAUUCCCGUUUGUCGUAAGGGAUAUCGCGCAUGUCCGUGCCUUGCUUCUGGAUCACUUCCAACGCACCAUCGACCAUGACUU
This 273-nucleotide unclassified non-coding RNA is filed under the name uncultured fungus. RNAcentral describes it as "sequence contains ITS1". The record is from RNAcentral. Lineage: Eukaryota; Fungi.